ACAUGUCCUUUUGUAUAUUAAAUAUAAGGUCUAACCUGCCCAAUGAUGUUAAAUUCAAUGGCCGCGGUAUAUUAACUGUGCUAAGGUAGCAUAAUCACUUGUCUUUUAAUUAAAGGCUAGAAUGAAUGGUUGGACAAGGUAUAAACUUUCUUUAAUUUAAUUUAUGAACUUAAUUUUUAAGUUAAAAAGCUUAAAUUUUUUUGGGGGACGAGAAGACCCUAUAGAUCUUUAUAUUUAUAAUUUUUAUAUAUUUUAGAGUAUAAAUUAUUAUAAUUAUUAUAUUUAUUUGGUUGGGGUGAUUAUAAAAUUUAAUUAACUUUUAUUGUUGAUUAUUUCAUUAAUUAAUGUUUUUUUGAUCCAAUUAUAUUGAUUAUAAGUUUAAGUUACCUUAGGGAUAACAGCGUAAUUUCUUCGAAGAGCUCAUAUCGAUGAAGAAGUUUGCGACCUCGAUGUUGGAUUAAAAUAAGUUUUAGAUGUAGGAGUUUAAUAACUAGGUCUGUUCGACCUUUAAUUUUUUACAUGAUCUGAG
This 529-nucleotide ribosomal RNA is filed under the name Pirnonota convexicollis. RNAcentral describes it as "partial 16S ribosomal RNA". It matches the Rfam family "Bacterial large subunit ribosomal RNA", at positions 1815 to 2609 of the family's 2925-position model. The record is from RNAcentral. Lineage: Eukaryota; Metazoa; Arthropoda; Insecta; Hemiptera; Reduviidae.